AGGACUUUUAGCAUGAGAAAGUCUGGGAAAAAAAUGUAGAAUUUUUAAGAGGUCUUGCCCUCACAUGCACGUAAUGGGUUGAAAAGAACUUUUGGAUUAUCAGAUCUAUAUGUCUUGGAUCCCUGUUUCUUUGAAAUGCGUACAUAUAGGAUUAAGGACCCAAAUCAAUCUUCCGCUUUUGAUCGUUAAAUUCCUCAAACGGACUGAUUUUAUAACUACUGUCCUCCUGCAAUUGAGACAUUAUCAAGAGGUUUGUUUCAAGAGGUAAUCGUAACAAAUACCAUUCCGGUGUUGGAGCAAAACUAUUUUCAUCAGCAAACAGAAUUGUCAGUUGCAAACCUCCUGGGGGAGAUGACUGCUACGUAAGUAGCAUACUUCACAAAAAUUAUUUGAAAAGAACUAGCCAGAAAUUUGAAUUUCGAAAAGUCUGAUGCUACUUUAGACAGUACCCAAAUUACCAACCAAAAAAGAAAGGAAGAAAAGCAAAGAAGACGGCGGCAAGAAACCUGUAUGCCUUUCCAUAUCAGUUACAAGAUUUUCUCAUUGCUUUGUACUCUGCCGUGUUGUUUCCUAACCGGGGGUGGCUUUGAACCGACUGACGAUUUACACCGGUUGUUGUGUACGUUUCCCAGCUUCCAUUUCUGUCACUGGCUGCCUUGUUGUAUAAUGGAAAUGAUAGUAAAACCAAAAUGUAUUUUCUUUUCAGCUUGUUUUCAAAGCUUUGUACAGUUAGAGGCUUACGGAUAGAUUCUUUCCAUUAGGUUGAAUGUUAAGUUUUUUGCAGGCCUUCAUAGCUUC
Carya illinoinensis is the source of this 798-nucleotide long non-coding RNA. RefSeq lists it as uncharacterized. The record is from RefSeq and is a predicted model, not a curated record. Lineage: Eukaryota; Viridiplantae; Streptophyta; Magnoliopsida; Fagales; Juglandaceae. The transcript is spliced from 3 exons.